Molecule: non-coding RNA, 214 nt
Organism: Schizosaccharomyces pombe (fission yeast)
Lineage: Eukaryota; Fungi; Ascomycota; Schizosaccharomycetes; Schizosaccharomycetales; Schizosaccharomycetaceae
Source: the annotation of a GenBank genome assembly
UUAUCAGCAAAAAAGAGUUGGUGGGACAGGCGACAAGUAAAUAAGGAAAGUAUAACUAGCGCAGUAGGCAAAACAGAAGAUUGUAUGAGAUUUCCAAAAAUGAAUGGGUAAACAACAAACGUCGGUUAAUCUUGUGCGAAAAGAGAAAACGGGGUUUUAAUAAAGGAAAAAAUAAAAUAAAUUUGACGGGAUCAAAAAGAUUCUCUAAAUUUCA